UUUAAGCUUAUUCCAACUCUCAGUUUCCUCAGAUCAUAGAUGAAGAAACUGAGGCACAGAGAGGCCGAAUCCACUGUCAAAGGUCCGGUAGCUGGAGGAGGCAGCGCCCCUCACAUCCAUUAGUCAGACCAGCCACAGGGCACAUCUACUUGCAGGGAGGCCCAGCAACAAGGUCUGGAGUCUCGGAGGCCACAUGCCUAGCAAGACACCAAGUGCUCUGUUAGUGUUGAAGCGGGGUGGAUGGCAUUGGAAGAUGGCUGGUCAUCCCCGUCACAGCUCACAGCCCGUCAUUCACAGACCAAGCUCCCCUGGCUUGACUCGCUGCCAUGUCACACGUCCCCAGGAUGUGCUGUGCCUUUGCUGGGACCUACAGUUCUGUUGGGAAUCUCUUUGGUGUCAUGGUCCCAACUGAGGCUGUGAGAGGAAAGAUGUCCUGUGACACCUGCUGCCCUCAGGGCCUCUUCCUCCUUCCCUUAGACGCAGGCCAGCUGGAACAUCCCCAGGCGUUCUGUCCUGGAUCAAGCAAGAGGAAGGGGCAAGUGGGAGGAGCCAGCAGGGCCCACAGGAGACCACUGUGGCACACCUGUGCUCAGAGACCUGUCUGGGCCGCAGAGAGAAG
This 619-nucleotide long non-coding RNA is filed under the name Pan troglodytes (chimpanzee). RNAcentral describes it as "long non-coding RNA NONPTRT015927". The record is from RNAcentral. Lineage: Eukaryota; Metazoa; Chordata; Mammalia; Primates; Hominidae.